AUCGACAAAUUCAUAGUUUAAUAAUUAUUUUCAAUCUAUUACAGUAAUUUCACCGCUUCCACGGGUUUUUAGACCUUCAAAAAGUUACAAUAAAGCUAAAUUUACAGGAAAUAACAUUAUUUAGUUCCAAAUUUGUAAAGGAAAUCUAUAGGCUAUAUCGCUUUCGAUAAAACUUGACACCUUGACCUUGUUAUUACCGUCGCUGGCAUUCUGGCAAUUAACGAUGAACAGUCGCUCAUAAAAACGCAUAUUCGCGUGAGAAUCUUAAGUUUUCUUAUUUUGAAGUAAUAGGUAUUUUUCAAUAAAUAUAUUGAUAUUAAACCUAUUGAAGCAAUAUUUUAAGUUCCAGGUCAGUUGUACCAAAGGUGAUAUGCCCUACCGUAAACCUCCGACUAUAAGCCGCGCGUGGGCUUAUUUCGUAAGCGAUUUAUAUAAGGGGGGGGGGGCUUAUUUUAGUAAUAAACAAGUCAGUCAUAAACGGGAAAAUAAACAUGUAUUAAUAAUUCGCUUUGAUUAACAUAGUAAACUAUAAAGACAAUGAGGGGGCUUAGAUUUAAGGGGGCUUAUAUUCGGGGGCUUAUAUUUGGAAUGAGGUGAGCGUUAGUACAUGUGGCCGGUGGGCUUAUACACGGGGGCUUAUACACGGGGGCUUAUAAACCGGGGGCUUAUACAGGGGGGGUGUAUAUUUGGGGGCUUAUAUGUGUAUAGCGAAUGCCCAAGGUUUCAGAUGGCAUGCAACAUGUACACAUUGCGUACCUAUUUUUAAAAUAUGUUUUUAGAAAAAUUUACAAUUUCGGAAAUUGCAUGUCUAUAUAUAUGUUUAUAUUAUUAAACAAUACGCUCACAUGAUCAGUGUUGAUAAUAACCUCAUAUAACUGUAAGUGUUUGACAUGUUAAUAAAGCCUAAAAUAUAAACAAAACUAUUAUACAGUUAUAAAAACCAUCAGCAUUUUCAAUCAAAAGACAUUGAUGUAGUGCCAUUAACUUGCUCUUUCAAAUGUAGUAUCUGUAACUCUAAUUUUUCCUUUUCAAGAAGAAUAAUUUCUUCUUGCAGGUUUAGUAUCUUCAGCUUCUUUUUUAGAAGAUCUUGCCGAGUAACCUUUUCCUUUUCGUCAUUGGGCUUGCUGUUCGGCCUUGGUAGGGCUGUCGGUAAAACUUGUUGCUUUGUAUUUGGGCAAUUUAUCUUCUCGGGAUAAACAGGAGCAGCU
Molecule: non-coding RNA, 1208 nt
Organism: Paramuricea clavata
Lineage: Eukaryota; Metazoa; Cnidaria; Anthozoa; Malacalcyonacea; Plexauridae
Source: the annotation of a GenBank genome assembly